Molecule: non-coding RNA, 89 nt
Organism: Aspergillus flavus AF70
Lineage: Eukaryota; Fungi; Ascomycota; Eurotiomycetes; Eurotiales; Aspergillaceae
Source: Rfam
ACAUACGACCAUAGGGUGUGGAGAACAGGGCUUCCCGUCCGCUCAGCCGUACUUAAGCCACACGCCGGGAGGUUAGUAGUUGGGUGGGU